Molecule: long non-coding RNA, 914 nt
Organism: Planococcus citri (citrus mealybug)
Lineage: Eukaryota; Metazoa; Arthropoda; Insecta; Hemiptera; Pseudococcidae
Exons: 2
Source: RefSeq, a predicted model, not a curated record
UAUCGUAUCACCGUGAAAAUGUCUGGUGAAGACGUGAAGUGAAUAAUAGUGAUAGAGGAAUGCGUGAGAAGAGAAGAGAGCAGAGGCAGCAGAGCAUAGGAUUUCAUUCAAGAAUUCAAUGGACCGUUCUGAAGUAUUCCUGCGAAACAUGGACCAUGAGUGCAGAAUGCGAGAAGAAAGUAUCCGCUUUUGAGAUGUGGUGCUAUCGAAGGCUACUACGGAUCUCAUGGAAGGACUUCGUUACCAACAAGGAAGUACUAGCAAGAAUAGGAGAGGAGCGGAAAGUCGUAGGUGAAGACAUCAAAAACAGAAAGCUAAAGUAUUUAGCUCAUAAAAUACGAGAAAACGGUAUUUUCAUGCUAGCGGUACAGGGGAAAAUCCAAGGAAGAUCGACGAGAGGCAGGAAACGAUCGGAACUGUUAACAACAAACUCACCGGCCAACUCCCCCUGCAAGACCCUGAAAGAAACAAUUAGAUACGCUAGAUACCGGCUAAUAUAGAUGGACAUAUACGCUAUCUCCUGUAAAGGAGCGCGACUACGACGACGACGACAAGAAUUCACCUUGAUUUCCGCAUAUUGAGCUCAAGCUCAAUUCAAUCAAUUUUGUAGUAGGUAUAAGCAAUAUAAUUUCCGCGAAAUAGCCAUUUUAAACACAAAAAAAUUAAGAAGAAGUCCAUCAAAUAAGAACUUAUUUUGAAUGUAUAUUGUGAAACGAAUAAAUACAGAAAAUUAGUGGGUAACCAAAAUACUGAAACAAGAUAUUAUGCAAAAAUAUUAUGAACUAACUUUGCCCACACACUCUAUACAUAAAGAAUGCAGAUGGUCCAUACAUAUUCCACUGAUCUCUCUUGAAAAUUCGAAAUCUUGUAAGAAAAUUUAAAUUUUACUCUCCAGUCAUCAUUUCCAUAAAUUC